AGUUUACUAGAUAUCGGAUUUUUCUCAUUACAGAUAAUCUACAGACCAAAGAUGCAGCGGUGGGAGAGGACGUGACUCUGGACUGCCACGUUGGACCUGAUCUAAUCAACUUGAUCAAAUCAGUCGAAUGGAAAUUCAACGGUGAAGUCAAUGUCCUGGUUUACAAAAGCAAAGACUUUUCCCUCAAUGACCAGGGUGGAAAAUUCAGAGUCAGAGCGUCUGGAGGCGACAGAUGGGAUUUCAAGGGAGGGGAACUUCCUGUGAAAAUCUCACCGCUGCAGGAAUCUGAUGCUGGCAAUUACAGCUGCUCUGUUUCAAUUGGACUCGAACUCAAAGAAAUCUGCUCUAUAAAACUCAACGUUAAAAAAGCGGGUGAUAAAGAACAACGGGCCAUGGACCGAACUGCGACGGGCCAGAGCUGCAAAACUGUUGGCGACACUGUGUUGACUCUGUUGUUGGCCACGUCUACAUUACUGAACUUUAUGCACUACUGAAGAAACAUCGAAAGUCACAACAAAUAAAGAUUACAAAUACAAAACUGUACUGCAAAACAUUAAAAAAACAAAAAAAACUUUU
Long non-coding RNA from Notothenia coriiceps (black rockcod), 576 nucleotides. RefSeq lists it as uncharacterized. The transcript has 4 exons. The record is from RefSeq and is a predicted model, not a curated record. NCBI's taxonomy places the organism in Eukaryota, Metazoa, Chordata, Actinopteri, Perciformes, Nototheniidae.